RNAcentral lists this ribosomal RNA (1372 nucleotides) under Meredithblackwellia eburnea. RNAcentral's name for it is "eukaryotic LSU rRNA". The stretch from base 284 to 1372 matches the Rfam family "Eukaryotic large subunit ribosomal RNA", at positions 1 to 1093 of the family's 3401-position model. Lineage: Eukaryota; Fungi; Basidiomycota; Microbotryomycetes; Kriegeriales; Kriegeriaceae. The record is from RNAcentral.
CUUUGAACGCAUCUUGCGCUCUCUGGUAUUCCGGAGAGCAUGUCUGUUUGAGUGUCAUGAACUCUUCAACCCUCCAAUUUCUAGUAGAUUGCGAGGAGUUUGGAUUUUGAGCGUUUUGCUAAUCUUUAGAUUAGCUCGUUCGUAAUGCAUUAGCCUCUCGAAUUCGAUUUCGGAUUGACUCAGUGUAAUAGACUAUUCGCUGAGGACACUUUUUACUAAGUGGCCGAAUGAGAAACUGUUUAGAAGCUUCUAAAGCAAGUUUGAUUAGUCAAAUCUUCAAUUUAGACCUCAGAUCAGGCAGGAUUACCCGCUGAACUUAAGCAUAUCAAUAAGCGGAGGAAAAGAAACUAACAAGGAUUCCCCUAGUAACGGCGAGUGAAGCGGGAAGAGCUCAAAUUUGUAAUCUGGCACUUUCAGUGUCCGAGUUGUAAUCUCGAGAAGUGUUUUCCGCGCUAGACUGCAUACAAGUCUGUUGGAAUACAGCGUCAUAGUGGUGAGAACCCCGUACCUGAUGCAGAUGCCUAGUGCUUUGUGAUACACUUUCGAAGAGUCGAGUUGUUUGGGAAUGCAGCUCAAAUUGGGUGGUAAAUUCCAUCUAAAGCUAAAUAUUGGCGAGAGACCGAUAGCGAACAAGUACCGUGAGGGAAAGAUGAAAAGCACUUUGGAAAGAGAGUUAACAGUACGUGAAAUUGUUGGAAGGGAAACGCUUGAAGUCAGACUUGCUAUCUGGAAUUCAGCCGCAAGGCGUAUUUUUCAGUUCGCAGGCCAGCAUCAGUUUUUGGGGGUGGAAAAGGGUAAUUGGAAUGUGGCAACUCCGGUUGUGUUAUAGCCUUUUACUGGAUUCACCUUUGGGGACUGAGGAACGCAGUGUGCUUUUUGCAAGGCCCUCGGGCUUAUCACACUUAGGAUGCUGGUGGAAUGGCUUUAAACGACCCGUCUUGAAACACGGACCAAGGAGUCUAACAUGCUUGCGAGUAUUUGGGUGUCAAACCCGGAUGCGCAAUGAAAGUGAAUGGAGGUGGGAAGCGCAAGCUGCACCAUCGACCGAUCUGGAUUUUUUAAGAUGGAUUUGAGUAAGAGCAAUUAUGUUGGGACCCGAAAGAUAGUGAACUAUGCCUGAAUAGGGCGAAGCCAGAGGAAACUCUGGUGGAGGCUCGUAGCGGUUCUGACGUGCAAAUCGAUCGUCAAAUUUGGGUAUAGGGGCGAAAGACUAAUCGAACUAUCUAGUAGCUGGUUCCUGCCGAAGUUUCCCUCAGGAUAGCAGAAACUCACAUCAGUUCUAUGAGGUAAAGCGAAUGAUUAGAGGCCUUGGGGUUGAAACAACCUUAACCUAUUCUCAAACUUUAAAUAUGUAGGAAGUCCUUGCUACUUA